CCAGACUCCUACGGGAGGCAGCAGUAGGGAAUUUUCGGCAAUGGGGGGAACCCUGACCGAGCAACGCCGCGUGAACGAAGAAGUUAUUCGUAAUGUAAAGUUCUUUUAUCAGGGAAGAAAGAGGAAUUUGACGGUACCUGAGGAAUAAGCUCCGGCUAACUACGUGCCAGCAGCCGCGGUAAUACGUAGGGGGCAAGCGUUAUCCGGAUUUACUGGGUGUAAAGGGAGCGUAGACGGUUAUGUAAGUCUGGAGUGAAAGCCCGGGGCCCAACCCCGGGACUGCUUUGGAAACUGUGUAACUGGAGUACAGGAGGGGCAGGCGGAAUUCCUGGUGUAGCGGUGAAAUGCGUAGAUAUCAGGAGGAACACCGGCGGCGAAGGCGGCCUGCUGGACUGUAACUGACGUUGAGGCUCGAAAGCGUGGGGAGCAAACAGGAUUAGAUACCCUUGUA
This 451-nucleotide ribosomal RNA is filed under the name uncultured bacterium. RNAcentral's name for it is "bacterial SSU rRNA". It matches the Rfam family "Bacterial small subunit ribosomal RNA", at positions 331 to 792 of the family's 1533-position model. The record is from RNAcentral.